This 379-nucleotide ribosomal RNA is filed under the name uncultured eukaryote. RNAcentral's name for it is "SSU rRNA". It matches the Rfam family "Eukaryotic small subunit ribosomal RNA", at positions 587 to 972 of the family's 1831-position model. The record is from RNAcentral.
AGCUCCAAUAGCGUAUAUUAAAGUUGUUGCAGUUAAAAAGCUCGUAGUUGAACCUUGGGUCUGGGUGACCGGUCCUCCUCACCGAGUGCACUGGGAGCCCGGACCUUUCCUUCUGGCAAACCUCAUGCCCUUUACUGGGUGUGUUGGGGAACCAGGACUUUUACUUUGAAAAAAUUAGAGUGUUCAAAGCAGGCAUUUGCUCGAAUACAUUAGCAUGGAAUAAUAGAAUAGGACGUGCGGUUCUAUUUUGUUGGUUUCUAGGACCGCCGUAAUGAUUAAUAGGGAUAGUCGGGGGCAUCCGUAUUCAAUUGUCAGAGGUGAAAUUCUUGGAUUUAUUGAAGACGAACUACUGCGAAAGCAUUUGCCAAGGAUGUUUUCA